Molecule: long non-coding RNA, 545 nt
Organism: Panthera uncia (snow leopard)
Lineage: Eukaryota; Metazoa; Chordata; Mammalia; Carnivora; Felidae
Exons: 3
Source: RefSeq, a predicted model, not a curated record
AAGGCAGAAGAAUGGUUGUGUAAUGCCAUGCUGGCCAUUUCAAGACAGUUUUCUUUUAUUUCAAGGGAUGCAGGAAGCCACUGGAGGGUUUUGAAUGUAGUCUGAAGAGAGAAAAAGAGGGGUGCCUGUGUGGCUCAGUCAGUUAAGCAUCCGACUUCUAUCAUCGGGUCAUGAUGUCAUGGUUCGUGAGUUCAAGCCCUAUGUCAGUAAAGCAGUGGUCAUCAACUGUGGCUUCACGAAAAUGAGCAGGGGGACUUAAAAAAUUCCCAGUCUGUGCUCUAGGCCAGUUGCAUCAGGAGCUGUAGAGGUAGAAAUCAAGCAUCCCAUCAUUCCAGUGAGCAGCUGACUUUGAGAUACAUCCUACAAAGUAGCCAAAUGUGGUGAUUGUCCCUCCCUGCUUUAAGAAAAUUUUGGGAAUUUUAAGAAAAUUCUGGGAAAACAUUGGGGGUGUGGUUAACCCACUUCACAUCUUUAUAAUCUUUAUCCUUUUGAUAAGUAGCAGUAAAGAAAACCCUUGCAUUUAUUCUUCUGUGUGGCUAUUGUAA